RNAcentral lists this non-coding RNA (75 nucleotides) under Lentilactobacillus diolivorans. Its description in RNAcentral is "Lactobacillus diolivorans Fluoride sequence". It matches the Rfam family "Fluoride riboswitch aptamer (crcB RNA motif)". Lineage: Bacteria; Bacillati; Bacillota; Bacilli; Lactobacillales; Lactobacillaceae. The record is from RNAcentral.
UAUUAAAACGGCGAUGACGUUCGCCCUUACUCAGCAGUGUUAACACACCAAAGAGUUGAUGACGUCUACUUUAAC